AGAGUUUGAUCCUGGCUCAGAACGAACGCUGGCGGCGUGGAUCAGGCAUGCAAGUCGAACGAUCCUCCGGGAUAGUGGCAGAAGGGUUAGUAACGCGUGGGUAAUCUACCUUCGAGUUGGGAAUAACCUCCCGAAAGGGGGGCUAAUACCGAAUGAAAUUUCUUGGACGCAUGUCCGAGAAUUCAAAGAUGGGGACCCGUAAGGGCCUGUCGCUUGAAGAUGAGCCCGCGUCCUAUCAGCUUGUUGGUGAGGUAAUGGCUCACCAAGGCUAUUGACGGGUAGCUGGUCUGAGAGGAUGAUCAGCAACACUGGGACUGAGACACUGCCCAGACUCCUACGGGAGGCUGCAGUCGAGAAUCUUUACCAAUGCCCGAAAGGGUGAGUAUGCGACGCCGCGUGUAGGACGAAGGCCUUCGGGUCGUAAACUACUGUCAGGGGUGAGGAAACCUUAUUCGUUAAUAACGGGUAAGCUGACGUUAGCCCCAAAGGAAGCCACGGCUAACUCUGUGCCAGCAGCCGCGGUAAUACAGAGGUGGCAAGCGUUGUUCGGAUUUAUUGGGUGUAAAGGGCAGGUAGGCGGCCGUGAAAGUCUGAUGUGAAAUCCCAGGGCUCAACCCUGGAACCGCAUCGGAUACUACAUGGCUCGAGCUGCGGAGAGGUGAGGAGAAUUCCCGGUGUAAGGGUGAAAUCUGUAGAUAUCGGGAGGAACAUCGAUGGCGAAGGCACCUCACUGGCCGACAGCUGACGCUGAUCUGCGAAAGCCGGGGGAGCAAACAGGAUUAGAUACCCUGGUAGUCCCGGCUGUAAACGAUGCAGACUAGAUGUCGGAAGGGUCGAUCCUUUCGGUGUCGCCGUUAACACAUUAAGUCUGCCACCUGGGGAGUACGGUCGCAAGACUGAAACUCAAAGGAAUUGACGGGGACCCGCACAAGCGGUGGAGCAUGUGGUUUAAUUCGAGGCUACGCGAGGAACCUUACCUGGGCUUGAAAAGCUAGCAGUAGUCCUGAUGAAAGUCGGGGCGAUCGUAUCCAAUCGGAGGCUAGUACAGGUGCUGCAUGGCUGUCGUCAGCUCGUGCAGUGAAGUGUUGGGUUAAGUCCCGCAACGAGCGCAACCAUUACCUCUAGUUGCCAUCGAGUCAUGUCGGGGACUCUAGAGGGACUGCCGGUGACAAACCGGAGGAAGGUGGAGAUGACAUCAAGUCAGCAUGGCCCUUACGCCCAGGGCUACACACGUGCUACAAUGACCGGUACAAUGGGCUGCAAACCCGCGAGGGGGAGCCAAUCCCAAAAAGCCGGCCUCAGUACGGAUCGCAGGCUGCAAUUCGCCUGCGUGAAGCUGGAAUCGCUAGUAAUGGCGCAUCAGACAUGGCGCCGUGAAUACGUUCCCGGGUCUUGUACACACCGCCCGUCAAGCCACCUGAAUCGGUGGGACCCGAAGUCGUUUACCUAACCGCAAGGAGGGGAACGCCUAAGGUCAAACUGGUGAGGAGGGCUAAGUCGUAACAA
This 1506-nucleotide ribosomal RNA is filed under the name metagenome. Its description in RNAcentral is "bacterial SSU rRNA". It matches the Rfam family "Bacterial small subunit ribosomal RNA". The record is from RNAcentral.